CCUGGCGCCAAAUUUGAACAACGACGCGACGCGCGCUGCUCAUUUUCCAGCCGCCUUCUAAUUCUUCCAACAUCCGAUCCAGAUCCAGUCCCGUACUCCGACCGUAGUCGUAGAAAAUUAGUCGGAAUAUUUUUUGUCAUUCUUUCAUCUUUACCUCAUCUGGGCCUGUAUAUCCAAUAAUCAUGAUGUCGUGUGUAGAUGCAAUCGAUGGAAUGAGACAUGGGCACAGAAAUAAAGGACAAAUUCAGGUCAUCUUUGGGCCCAUGUUCUCUGGUAAAACAACUGAACUGAUCAGGAGGAUAAAGCGUUAUCAGAUUGCAAAUCACUACUGUCUUCUCAUCAAAUACGACAAAGACACAAGAUAUGACAAGGAUGGUGUAGCAACUCAUGAUAGGCAAGUAUGUAAAGCUACUUCUGCUAGCAAUCUAUCUUCAGUCACAGAGCUUGCUGAGGAGUAUGAGGUCAUAGGAAUCGAUGAAGGUCAAUUUUUUCCUGAUUGUGUCAAGUUUUGUGAAGAAAUGGCCAAUCUAGGCAAAAUCAUCAUUGUAGCUGCAUUAGACGGAACAUUCCAGAGGAAGGGUUUUGGUGAUAUUUUAAAUCUUGUACCACUUGCUGAAAGUGUCAUAAAGCUCAACGCUGUCUGUAUGCAUUGCUAUAACGAAGCUUCAUAUACCCGAAGGAUAGGAUGUGAAACAGCUGUGGAGGUCAUAGGGGGCGCUGACAAGUACAUGGCCGUCUGCCGAGACUGUUACUUACUCAGUCCAAGUAAGAUCAAUGAUAACAGUAUACAAACCCCCAUCACGCUAGAUACAACACACAAAGCUAAUAAACAAGGGAGGCGAUUAUUCCAAUCUCCCAGCAGUGAUGGAGAGUCAAGCAUGUCCCCUUGACUACGGUGAAGUUUGGUUUUUAAUUAGUUUCUAGAAUUUGAAUUGUAAUUAUUAUGAAUUCUUCAAUUUUUAACCGUUUUACAUACAUGUUAUCUUUUUAAUCAUUGUUCAGGUAGAAAAUAACUUUUAAAGUAAUGCUGUUCAUGAUUUUUCUUGAAAUGCAUGUGUGUGUAGUUUGACAGACUGUUGGACAGUAAUUUGCUUAAAAGCAACUUUCAAAUGAAUUAAGUUGUCAGGAAUAGGGGGAGUCCAACCCAAGUAGGUUUUUUAUAAAAAGAAAAAGAAAGGCAGAAACUCGUUAAAAAUUGAUGAAAUUCAAGAGUUAUCAAUUUUGUGAUACCUCAUGUAAUCUGACCUCCCAAUGUCCCAUUCAAAAAAAAAAAAUUAUACAAAUUUGUGAUAGAUGAUGGAUUUUCUUGCUCAAGAAGAUUAUUUGGAAUAUGUGUCUAAUUAUCACAUCAAAAUCAUUUGAUUUUCUUGGAGAUAACUGCAGUUGUUGAGUUCAUUGUUGGGCCUUCAUACAUGUGGGAGAGCAGCUUACAUACAACAUCACAAAAAUAAAACUAUCACAAAUCUGGUAUCUCUUUCCAUAAAAAAAUCAAUAAUCUUUUUUUUUUUCUGCAUUUAUGGAAACCUACUUUAAUAUUAGGGUGAACUUUCCCUUUGAAACUAUAACAUAUUAUAAACAAUGUCCUAAUAUGACCUGGGAAUAAUUUGAUGAAGCUUGUCAGUUUUUUCAUUCUCUGGUGAUUACCACAGUAACAGUGAGAGACCAGUUCUUCUCAGCCAAUCAAAAUCAAGGAAUUGACUGAUAUUGUCCAAUCUGACAAUUUAGUCAGUGCCGACAACAUUCAUGUAACACACCCUGAUAUCAGAACAGAGAAAGAUUGCCAUUGGUAGCUAUUUCAGACUAUAUUCAAUUCAAGAAUAUCAAUAAUAAUAUUAAUAUUCACACCUUCAGCGCUUUCAGAUGUAUUGUUUGAGAGUAUUUAUCAAAACGGUUGAGAUGGAUUAUUAAUUGGUAUUCAUAUUCUUAAUCCACUCUGUAGUAUCAAAUAGCACUCGGCAGUGGCCAACACAAUGGCUCGUAUUCUGAUAGCAGGUUUAACUUAAACUCAGGUUUGAAGUUGUAGUUUAAGUAUGGAUAGCCAAUUGUUACAUAAAUCACUAACAGUAAAGAUAUCAUAUUUCAGCUCAUUUGGCUCUCAAAUCAUUCAUUAUUGUCUAGGAAGUAUACAUUGAUGAUUGUCUUCACCAUCGAUGAAUCAGGAAAGAGCACAAUAAACAUAAGAAACACACAACUUAAUAAAAAUGUUGAUACUUUUGGCUUCCCUUACUUAAACCACAACUUUAAACCUGAGUUUAAGUUAAACCUGCUAUCAGAAUACGGGCCAAUAUGUUUUACUUUCCACCCUAGGUUGGUAUUGAUUUUAUUCUUCAUCAAUAAUGCCUGUUUGUAUACUUCUACCUCAUUCAUACAAAUACAAUGUACUGUAUGCAUUAUUAGUCAGGAAACAAAUCUGGGAUGAGAUAAGAUUCUAUAUUUGUCUCCGUUGUUUGUCUGGUUCUGUGUUUAGCACUUUGAAGAAAAGUUGGAAAAUUAUUAAAUUUCAAAAAUUCUUCUGACGUGCACCUGUUCAAAUAUCAUUCAGUAUAUUUGGGUUUAGUCCAAUAAACUCUAUUGUUUGUUGAUGCAUUUUUGUCAGCCAAUCUGAAAAAAAAAUCCUCAUUCAAUGAAUGUGUUUGAAUCUAUUGACAAGAGGCUAGUUAGUUCAUGAACCAUGAAUGACAAACCAACCACAAUGCUCUAAAUAAACUGGACAUAUACAUGUAAUCCUCAAUAAUAGGACUAUCUGUUUUUAUAUCACAUAAUUAUGAAGUAUUAGGAUCAGCGAAAAUUGUUUAUAGCAGUAUAUUAAUUUUGUCUUUUUGUAAAGGAACAACAUGUAAUAUAGCUUUAUUUGUAUUCUACAUAUAUUUUAUUUUUCACCGAACAUUGUAUGUCUGACAAUCAAGAUUAACAUACAAGUAUAUGACUAAGCAUUAAAAAAAAAAUGAAACAAAUAUUAUUGGGUGAAGGCAGCCCUCAGGAGUGCUCAGCAAUAUUUGGGAAAAUAUGUCUUCAAAAGAGAAGGACAGCAAGCCAGCAAAGUAGGCGAGGGGGUAUUCACAGCAUUUACUUCAUCUCCUUUGGCCAAUGCAAACCUAGUGUGUGAUGGAAAUACAUGUUUACCUGAAACUCUUUGUAGUUUCAUUCUCAGUUAUAUAGCAGAUUUUAAUAUGUUGUUUUUUUAGUGAUUUUUUACUGUUUUAUUAUUAUUAUUAAUUUAGAGCUGGUCAAUACACCCCUGCUAUUGAAUAUUUUUAAUAGAAUCUAAUUGAAGGACACUCAUUCUUCUCAGGUGGUUGGCAAAGUCAAAAAGAAUGUACAACAAACUUUACAUGCAACAACAGGUUAGCAGUAGUAGUGAGUCUGGUUCCUGAAGAGUUGUUGUUGUUUUUUGUAGAGAGGACAUCAUUAUAUUAAUGUUUUUAAAGUGACCGUAACACGAAUUAUUCUCUUUCUAUGAAUUGGAGAUAUUGUAAAUAUUUGUGCAGAUAUCAAUAUA
Molecule: RNA transcript, 3499 nt
Organism: Lytechinus pictus (painted urchin)
Lineage: Eukaryota; Metazoa; Echinodermata; Echinoidea; Temnopleuroida; Toxopneustidae
Gene name: thymidine kinase, cytosolic-like
Exons: 8
Source: RefSeq, a predicted model, not a curated record